GCACCGGCGGACUGCUCAGUAACACGUGGACAACCUACCCUCGGGUGGGGGAUAACCUCGGGAAACUGAGGCUAAUACCCCAUAGGCCUCGGAUACUGGAAGGUUCCGAGACCGAAAGCUCCGGCGCCCGAGGAUGGGUCUGCGGCCUAUCAGGUAGUUGGUGGUGUAAAGGACCACCAAGCCUACGACGGGUACGGGCCCUGAGAGGGGGAGCCCGGAGAUGGACUCUGAGACACGAGUCCAGGCCCUACGGGGCGCAGCAGGCGCGAAACCUUCGCAAUGCGCGAAAGCGCGACGAGGGGAGCCCGAGUGCCCUUCCUUUCGGGAGGGCUUUUCUGGAGCCUAAAAAGCUCCAGGAAUAAGGGCUGGGCAAGACGGGUGCCAGCCGCCGCG
RNAcentral lists this ribosomal RNA (393 nucleotides) under uncultured archaeon. RNAcentral describes it as "bacterial SSU rRNA". It matches the Rfam family "Archaeal small subunit ribosomal RNA", at positions 75 to 469 of the family's 1478-position model. The record is from RNAcentral.